RNAcentral lists this ribosomal RNA (1539 nucleotides) under Staphylococcus pseudintermedius. Its description in RNAcentral is "partial 23S ribosomal RNA". It matches the Rfam family "Bacterial large subunit ribosomal RNA", at positions 1284 to 2821 of the family's 2925-position model. The record is from RNAcentral. Lineage: Bacteria; Bacillati; Bacillota; Bacilli; Caryophanales; Staphylococcaceae.
AGAAGUGAGAAUGCCGGUGUGAGUAGCGAAAGACGGGUGAGAAUCCCGUCCACCGAUUGACUAAGGUUUCCAGAGGAAGGCUCGUCCGCUCUGGGUUAGUCGGGUCCUAAGCUGAGGCCGACAGGCGUAGGCGAUGGAUAACAGGUUGAUAUUCCUGUACCACCAUUAUUCGUUUUAAGCGAUGGGGGGACGCAGUAGGAUAGGCGAAGCGUGCUGUUGGAGUGCACGUCCAAGCAGUGAGAUUGAGUGUUAGGCAAAUCCGGCACUCUUAAGAUUGAGCUGUGAUGGGGAGAGGAACUUGUUCCUCGAGUCGUUGAUUUCACACUGCCGAGAAAAGCCUCUAGCUAGAAUAACGGUGCCCGUACCGCAAACCGACACAGGUAGUCAAGAUGAGAAUUCUAAGGUGAGCGAGCGAACUCUCGUUAAGGAACUCGGCAAAAUGACCCCGUAACUUCGGGAGAAGGGGUGCUCUUUGAGGUUCACGCUUCGAAGAGCCGCAGUGAAUAGGCCCAAGCGACUGUUUAUCAAAAACACAGGUCUCUGCUAAACCGUAAGGUGACGUAUAGGGGCUGACGCCUGCCCGGUGCUGGAAGGUUAAGAGGAGUGGUUAGCGCAAGCGAAGCUACGAAUCGAAGCCCCAGUAAACGGCGGCCGUAACUAUAACGGUCCUAAGGUAGCGAAAUUCCUUGUCGGGUAAGUUCCGACCCGCACGAAAGGCGUAACGAUUUGGGCACUGUCUCAACGAGAGACUCGGUGAAAUCAUAGUACCGGUGAAGAUGCCGGUUACCCGCGACAGGACGGAAAGACCCCGUGGAGCUUUACUGUAGCCUGAUAUUGAAAUUCGGUACAGUUUGUACAGGAUAGGUAGGAGCCUUAGAAGCGUGAGCGCUAGCUUACGUGGAGGCAUUGGUGGGAUACUACCCUAAUUGUAUUGGAUUUCUAACCCGCAGCACUUAUCGUGCUGGGAGACAGUGUCAGGCGGGCAGUUUGACUGGGGCGGUCGCCUCCUAAAGAGUAACGGAGGCGCUCAAAGGUUCCCUCAGAAUGGUUGGAAAUCAUUCAUAGAGUGUAAAGGCAUAAGGGAGCUUGACUGCGAGACCUACAAGUCGAGCAGGGUCGAAAGACGGACUUAGUGAUCCGGUGGUUCCGCAUGGAAGGGCCAUCGCUCAACGGAUAAAAGCUACCCCGGGGAUAACAGGCUUAUCUCCCCCAAGAGUUCACAUCGACGGGGAGGUUUGGCACCUCGAUGUCGGCUCAUCGCAUCCUGGGGCUGUAGUCGGUCCCAAGGGUUGGGCUGUUCGCCCAUUAAAGCGGUACGCGAGCUGGGUUCAGAACGUCGUGAGACAGUUCGGUCCCUAUCCGUCGUGGGCGUAGGAAAUUUGAGAGGAGCUGUCCUUAGUACGAGAGGACCGGGAUGGACAUACCUCUGGUGUACCAGUUGUCGUGCCAACGGCAUAGCUGGGUAGCUAUGUAUGGACGGGAUAAGUGCUGAAAGCAUCUAAGCAUGAAGCCCCCCUCGAGAUGAGAUUUCCCAACUUC